RNAcentral lists this transfer RNA (83 nucleotides) under Crassvirales sp. RNAcentral describes it as "tRNA-OTHER". It matches the Rfam family "tRNA". Rfam says of the family: Transfer RNA (tRNA) molecules are approximately 80 nucleotides in length. Their secondary structure includes four short double-helical elements and three loops (D, anti-codon, and T loops). Lineage: Duplodnaviria; Heunggongvirae; Uroviricota; Caudoviricetes; Crassvirales. The record is from RNAcentral.
AGUAUAUUAGCUUAGUGGUAGAGCGUUAGAACAUCUUUUUAUGUAAUUCUAAAGACAUCAGUUCAAAUCUGAUAUAUACUUCA